AUUGAACGCUGGCGGCAGGCCUAACACAUGCAAGUCGAGCGGAUGAAGGAAGCUUGCUCCUGGAUUCAGCGGCGGACGGGUGAGUAAUGCAUAGGAAUAUGCCUGGUAGUGGGGGAUAACGUCCGGAAACGGGCGCUAAUCCCGCAUACGUCCUGAGGGAGAAAGUGGGGGAUCUUCGGACAUCACGCUAUCAGAUGAGACUAGGUCGGAUUAGCUAGUUGGUGAGGUAAAGGCCUACCAAGGCGACGAUCCGUAACUGGUCUGAGAGGAUGAUCAGUCACACUGGAACUGAGACACGGUCCAGACUCCUACGGGAGGCAGCAGUGGGGAAUAUUCGACAAUGGGCGAAAGCCUGAUCCAGCCAUGCCGCGUGUGUGAUGAAGGUCUUCGGAUUGUAAAGCUCUUUAAGUAGGGAGGAAGGGCAGUAAGUUAAUACCUGGCUGUCUUGACGGUACCAACAGAAAAAGCACCGGCUAACUACGUG
This 484-nucleotide ribosomal RNA is filed under the name uncultured bacterium. Its description in RNAcentral is "partial 16S ribosomal RNA". It matches the Rfam family "Bacterial small subunit ribosomal RNA", at positions 30 to 507 of the family's 1533-position model. The record is from RNAcentral.